This 253-nucleotide ribosomal RNA is filed under the name uncultured bacterium. Its description in RNAcentral is "partial 16S ribosomal RNA". It matches the Rfam family "Bacterial small subunit ribosomal RNA", at positions 524 to 776 of the family's 1533-position model. The record is from RNAcentral.
UACGAAGGGGGCUAGCGUUGCUCGGAAUCACUGGGCGUAAAGCGCACGUAGGCGGAUCGUUAAGUCAGGGGUGAAAUCCUGGAGCUCAACUCCAGAACUGCCUUUGAUACUGGCGACCUUGAGUUCGGGAGAGGUGAGUGGAACUGCGAGUGUAGAGGUGAAAUUCGUAGAUAUUCGCAAGAACACCAGUGGCGAAGGCGGCGAUCUGGACGAUGACUGACGCUGAGACGCGAAAGCGUGGGGAGCAAACAGG